Molecule: ribosomal RNA, 1398 nt
Filed under: Salmonella enterica
Lineage: Bacteria; Pseudomonadati; Pseudomonadota; Gammaproteobacteria; Enterobacterales; Enterobacteriaceae
Also listed under: 1 other name
Description: partial 23S ribosomal RNA
Rfam family: Bacterial large subunit ribosomal RNA
Source: RNAcentral
GGAAACGGGUUAAUAUUCCCGUACUUGGUGUUACUGCGAAGGGGGGACGGAGAAGGCUAUGUUGGCCGGGCGACGGUUGUCCCGGUUUAAGCGUGUAGGUGUGUGUUCCAGGUAAAUCCGGUUCACUUUAACACUGAGGCGUGACGACGAGGCACUACGGUGCUGAAGCAACAAAUGCCCUGCUUCCAGGAAAAGCCUCUAAGCAUCAGGUAACAUCAAAUCGUACCCCAAACCGACACAGGUGGUCAGGUAGAGAAUACCAAGGCGCUUGAGAGAACUCGGGUGAAGGAACUAGGCAAAAUGGUGCCGUAACUUCGGGAGAAGGCACGCUGACACGUAGGUGAAGUGAUUUACUCAUGGAGCUGAAGUCAGUCGAAGAUACCAGCUGGCUGCAACUGUUUAUUAAAAACACAGCACUGUGCAAACACGAAAGUGGACGUAUACGGUGUGACGCCUGCCCGGUGCCGGAAGGUUAAUUGAUGGGGUCAGCGCAAGCGAAGCUCCUGAUCGAAGCCCCGGUAAACGGCGGCCGUAACUAUAACGGUCCUAAGGUAGCGAAAUUCCUUGUCGGGUAAGUUCCGACCUGCACGAAUGGCGUAAUGAUGGCCAGGCUGUCUCCACCCGAGACUCAGUGAAAUUGAACUCGCUGUGAAGAUGCAGUGUACCCGCGGCAAGACGGAAAGACCCCGUGAACCUUUACUAUAGCUUGACACUGAACAUUGAGCCUUGAUGUGUAGGAUAGGUGGGAGGCUUUGAAGUGUGGACGCCAGUCUGCAUGGAGCCGACCUUGAAAUACCACCCUUUAAUGUUUGAUGUUCUAACGUGGACCCGUUACCCGGGUUGCGGACAGUGUCUGGUGGGUAGUUUGACUGGGGCGGUCUCCUCCUAAAGAGUAACGGAGGAGCACGAAGGUUGGCUAAUCCUGGUCGGACAUCAGGAGGUUAGUGCAAUGGCAUAAGCCAGCUUGACUGCGAGCGUGACGGCGCGAGCAGGUGCGAAAGCAGGUCAUAGUGAUCCGGUGGUUCUGAAUGGAAGGGCCAUCGCUCAACGGAUAAAAGGUACUCCGGGGAUAACAGGCUGAUACCGCCCAAGAGUUCAUAUCGACGGCGGUGUUUGGCACCUCGAUGUCGGCUCAUCACAUCCUGGGGCUGAAGUAGGUCCCAAGGGUAUGGCUGUUCGCCAUUUAAAGUGGUACGCGAGCUGGGUUUAGAACGUCGUGAGACAGUUCGGUCCCUAUCUGCCGUGGGCGCUGGAGAACUGAGGGGGGCUGCUCCUAGUACGAGAGGACCGGAGUGGACGCAUCACUGGUGUUCGGGUUGUCAUGCCAAUGGCACUGCCCGGUAGCUAAAUGCGGAAGAGAUAAGUGCUGAAAGCAUCUAAGCACGAAACUUGCCCCGA